This 303-nucleotide ribosomal RNA is filed under the name uncultured bacterium. RNAcentral describes it as "partial 16S ribosomal RNA". It matches the Rfam family "Bacterial small subunit ribosomal RNA", at positions 507 to 807 of the family's 1533-position model. The record is from RNAcentral.
AGCAGUAGCCGCGGUAAUACGAAGGGGGCUAGCGUUGCUCGGAAUUACUGGGCGUAAAGGGAGCGUAGGCGGAUCGUUUAGUCAGGGGUGAAAUCCCGGGGCUCAACCUCGGAACUGCCUUUGAUACUGGCGAUCUUGAGUGCAGAAGAGGAGAGUGGAAUUCCACGUGUAGCGGUGAAAUGCGUAGAGAUGUGGAGGAACACCAGUGGCGAAGGCGACUCUCUGGUCUGUAACUGACGCUGAGGAGCGAAAGCGUGGGGAGCGAACAGGAUUAGAUACCCCGGUAGUCCCUGUCUCUUAUAC